RNAcentral lists this non-coding RNA (54 nucleotides) under unclassified sequences. RNAcentral describes it as "chromate-resist RNA". It matches the Rfam family "chrB-b RNA". The record is from RNAcentral.
CCGGGCCUGACCGCAGUCGCCCGGCUUAUCCAAGGCAUUUCGCCCAAGUACUGC